CCAUGGCAGCUUUCUCUCCCCAGCAGAGUUUGUGAAGCAUGCAGGUGGGGGUGAUGUUGAUCAUCCCCUUAGGCACAUAGUCGUAAAUACUUCUGGUAGUUCUCUUUUUUAACUCGGUUAUCAUGUCAACCCCUCAAACGUACACAAGCGGGGAUGUGAAAUAGGAGAAAGAAAAUGAGAGAAUUUUUGGAAGAUAGAUUUUAUUUAUUUGUUUUUUCUUUGUUAACGAAAAGGAACUUGAUAUUAUUUACUAUUUUUCCAUGUUUCAGAGAGACUUUCAGCUGGAACUCUGAGAGUGUCUCUCUUAAAAUUUCCUUUUAGUUUCAAUCUGUUGUUUCAACUGUGCAUUCAUGCGUAUGAUGAAGUGAAAGUCAGGGCAUUAUUUAUUUCCUUUUGAA
RNAcentral lists this unclassified non-coding RNA (398 nucleotides) under Hevea brasiliensis (rubber tree). The record is from RNAcentral. Lineage: Eukaryota; Viridiplantae; Streptophyta; Magnoliopsida; Malpighiales; Euphorbiaceae.